Molecule: ribosomal RNA, 251 nt
Filed under: uncultured bacterium
Lineage: Bacteria
Description: partial 16S ribosomal RNA
Rfam family: Bacterial small subunit ribosomal RNA
Source: RNAcentral
UACGGAAGGUCCGGGCGUUAUCCGGAUUUACUGGGUGUAAAGGGAGCGUAGACGGCGAUGCAAGCCAGAUGUGAAAGCCCGGGGCUCAACCCCGGGACUGCAUUUGGAACUGUGUGGCUGGAGUGUCGGAGAGGCAGGCGGAAUUCCUAGUGUAGCGGUGAAAUGCGUAGAUAUUAGGAGGAACACCAGUGGCGAAGGCGGCCUGCUGGACGAUGACUGACGUUGAGGCUCGAAAGCGUGGGGAGCAAACA